CCUAUCACACGGGCGUGUGGAUGGCCGUGUGACCCAAGUCAGAGAGUUACACGAGUAUGGACACGGGCUGGAAUAUAGCCGUGUGUCUCACAUCAAAUGCCCACACGGCUUAAGACACGGGCAUGUCACUAGGCUACACGGGCGUGUGUCCCCUACUCCUAAGAAAAAUUUUUGAGAUUUUGAGAAAAAUUCCCUGGGUAUCCAGUUUAGUCCCGAUUCAAUUAUAAAGUGUAUAUUGGGCCUCGAGGGCCUAUAUAAAGGUCAAUAUGAGUGUUUUAUGAUUGGCUCUUGAUGUGUAUAUUAAAUAUUGUAAAACGUUAGUAUUUAAUCAAUAAAGUUUAGUAAUACUCUGUAACCCUAUUCCGACAACGAAUAAAGAUUAAGGGUGUUACAAAGCAAGGGUGGAAAACAAGUUUUUAUUAUAAAAAAAUAUAGUCGAAAGCAUCAGACUCAAAUAACCAAGUCCCAUAUGAGGAAGCUUGAGUUAGGUGAGUAAAAAAUUAUUUGGUUGAGCAACAAGAACUAUGUUGGAAGAUUGUUGUUUCACUGCUUGAUAUUGUAAAUACUCAUCAUAAUUUGACUCAAUUAAUGUGAUUGAUUUGACCAUUUGUGAUACGAGUCACAAAAGCUCAAAUUCUUGAAGGCGAGGCCCAAUAAGCAAAUUCCCAGCCCAAUCAAGAAAUCCAUCCAUACUUAGUUGAAAAUCAGGCCAAAUUGUCAAAGUGGCCCAAGUUGUAAAGUUUUAUUUUUAUUUAUUUAUUUUACUUAGUUUAAAUUUUUAUAUUCAGUCCAAGAGUCCCAAAUAAAAGACCCUUGGCCGAAUUUCCAUAUUAAAAUAAUUAGGAGUUAUUUUUUUAGUUUUAGUUUUAGUGUUCUAAUUAAAUUAGGAAAACAUUUGAAAGGCCUAUUUAUAUGGCUUGGCCAGCCACCCUACAUUACAUUACAAUUACAUUGAAAAUUUCAGAUUUGAUUUGAGUGAAAAUUCUCUUUGAGUUCUUCAAGGAUUUUCUCUUGAGUUUUCUUUAGAAGUUGUUUUAACAAUCUUUUUGAUUGUGGGAGCCAUCUUCAACCUUCUUCUUGCCAUUGAUAUUCUUUGGAGGGGAGAUUAGAGCCGUUUGAAGGGAUUUGUGAAAUCUUUCGGGAUUUCAAGGAUCUUUAGGACUUUCUUUAUUUCUUGCUAAUUCAUUUUAUUUCUUUAUUUCUACUUGUGCUGAAUCAUUAUCUAAUCUAUUUUCUGUUCUUAUUGUGUUUUCAGCCUUUUUCUAUCUUAAGGAAUCAGCCCAAAAAAUCCCCAAUUUCUAGGGUUUUUCUAUACUCUUUUUGGGUGAAAUUAGAUUGUCGAAAUUUGGGGAAAACUAUCUUGGUGUUCAAUUGGGCAGAAUCACAAUCUCCUUGAGGGUUUCAAGAACCCUAACACUUAUUUCUAUUCUCUAUUUGAUUCUUUACUGUUUUGGGGAUUUUAUUUCAGAUCUGAAAAUUCAAAAAUCUAAUCUUUUAAUUUUCUGUUUCGUUUCAGAUCUAAUUGUUUAGGGUUUUCGUAGGAGUUUCUCGUGACUUGACAACUCGAUCUUGGUCCGCGCGCAACCCCGUAUCAUUUGGUAUCAGAUUUUGGGCAUUUUGGGUGUUCUUGGUUGAUUUCUAAACUGAUCUCUAUUUUUUAAAUUACAACAGCAGUUUUACCCAGAAAAAUUUUCGAAAAAAAAUUCAUUUGAGUGGGUAAACGUUUUCUGAUUGAUCUGAAAUUUUACAUACAUAUUUUUGGCACUGUUAUUGAAUAUACAAAAAUAUUUACCACAAAAAAAAAUAAGUCGAAAAAGUCAAAAAAUUGAAAAAGACGAAAUCCAAUAAAAAAUUAAAAAAAUAUUCAGCGGGUUGAAUUUGGUGCCCAAAUUUUCCAGAUCAAAAAUUCAAUAUUUGAAGACAUUCCAGAUUUAAUUUUGUGAUUUUUUGAGAUCGGGAACACCUCGAACGAAGUUGUCAAGUUACUCCGCAGUUUUUCGGGUUUUCUGUUUUCAGCAAUUUUUAUUGAUUCUUAGCUGUAGGUUUUCAUUUGUUUACCUUUAUUCUUCCUUUACGUUAUCUAACACCUUCUUGUUUCUUGUGUUAGUAGGAUUUAAACGUGUGCACAACUUCUUCCUCGGUGCAACACGAAUCAAUUGGUGUCUCGUCAGUUUUUGGCAUCCUAGUGCAAAUUAGGAUUCUUUGGUAGUUUGGUUCACACUCUCUAAUUGGUUGAUAUAAACUCUGAUAAAGAACUCACAAGAUUGAAUUCGACCUCAUUGAGAAUUUGAAUUUUCUUUUUGAGUGAUUAAUGGUGAGGUUUGCUAACUUUUAUUUUUGAGUGUUGAGUGUUUAUUUUUUACAGGUUUUGAAGAUGUCUAAAGGUGAUAAUAAUGAUGCACUUAUGAAAGUCCAACAACAGUUAGAUGGACAUACUGCUGCAAUCACACAAAUAAAUGCUACACUUCAAGCAUUGAAUACUACUUUGAAUGAGGUACGAGUGAAUCAAAAACAUCAAUAUCGAGAUCCAAUUAAGGAAGAUAGGGAUAACCAACCCCAAAGGCGCGGCCCUCGACGUGUCACUAGAAUGGAUGAUGAUUUUCAUGAUCGUGGACAAUCAUCUUUGGCAAAACCAAGGAGCGAGCAGCAACGAGAACAUCUCUUUCAUACUCGCUGCCAUGUACAAGGUAAGCUUUGUAGAGUUAUUAUUGAUGGUGAAAGUUGCUCAAACACAGCCAGCACGACGAUGGUGGAAAAGCUUUGCUUAACCACUACCAAGCAUCCACAACCUUAUCAACUAUAAGGGCUUAGCAACGAAGGCCAAUUUAGGGUCACUCAACAAGUGCGCAUCGCCUUUUCUAUCGGUAAGUAUCAAGACGAAGUUGUGUGCGACGUAAUGCCUAUUCAAGCCUGCCAUUUGUUGCUAGGAGAACCAUGGCAACUGGAUCAAAAAGUCACUCACGAUGGUCGUACCAAUAGGUAUUCUUUCAAGCAUCAAGGAAAGAAACUCACCUUAGUGCCGCUCACUCCGGAACAAGUCCAUGAGGACCAAAUCAAACUGAAAAAUUCUGUUAAAACAAGUGAGGAAAAAGAAAAAGAGAAUGAAAAAGAGCAAAAAGAGAUUGAGAGUGAAAAGGAAUGUGAAACAGAAAAGAAAUUUGAAAAAGAAGUUGAAGAAAGAAGAGAAAAUGAGUUAGAAAAAGAAACAAAAGAAAAAGACGAGGAAAGGCUAGUGAGGAAUGUUUCCACUAACCAAGAUAUGAUUUUUCUUGUGUUGCUACUUUUCAGGUUCCUGAAAGAUCGAAAGAUAACUUUCAACUUCAAUACCUCUCAAAUGAAAGACGCUUUCAUACGAUCAACUUAGGCAAAGAUGAAAUCACACUACAUGAUCCCGAAGGUAAGCGAGGUAAGGAAAUUUUAGAAACCGAGUCCAGUGCAGAUUUAAAAAUUAUUGAUAAAACUUUUGGUGACUUAGUUCUUAAAGGAUCCCCUCAUUUUGAUCCGAUUAAUUGUUACUCUUCGAUUGUGGUUGAUAAAGUCAUUACGAAAAGAAGCGUGAUUUGUUAUUCUCUUGAUUUACCUUGUGUAAAAUCCUCGAAUUUGUCCAAAUCUGUUUUGGAGAAUAAGGUAACGAAAUUUUCCAAAUUUGUUUUCAAUUUAUAUUCGUGCCUUAAACAGUUUAUGUGGUUGUACAUGAAGUUUGAGUUCCAUUUGACAAAGGUUAACUCAACAACGGAGAUUCGACUACACUAUGCCCCCGAUGAGCGAAUGUUUGUUUUAAAUGAAAAAGGUAAAAUCGACCCUUAUUCUUCUGCUUAUCGAGGUAAGAUGCUUGAAACCUUUGAAACACUUUUGUACUCCUCGGAUAGUGAUAAAGAUCGUGUUGAUGAACACUUAGAUCGAAACGUGCUUGACUGUCCUAUUUUAUUUAUUGAUGAUCUAUCUGUUUUGAUGGUUGAUAAAAAGAUUCUUGUUUUUGAUAAUGCAUGUGUGAGUGAAUCUAUAGACCGUCGAUUAAUGCAUGGUAUGAUUAUGCAACUCUGUGAACCAUGUGAAUCUUUUCAAAUACCUACUUGUGACGAUUAUGUUUACCAUUUGAUUUAUUACUCGCAAUUUAUUCAUGGUUUGUGGGAACAAUGUGAGACGACUGAAUGCCUUAAAACAUGUCCAUCUUUGUUUCAAAUAUUUGACGAGGCAGUGGUGAGUAAAUUAGAUUGUUUGCAUGGUAAUCUGAAUCUGUCCAUUCACAUGCGUUAUACCUGUUCUAUUAUGCUUAUAAUUGGACUACAAGCUUGUUUCCGUUGCUAUUUACUAUCUCAUGGCUAUUCUUUUCAGUGGACUCAAUUGCCAUUACUCCCGUUCGAUAGAGGAAAGUCGAGUUCAUUUGAUUUUUCAGAUUCGAGGACGAAUCUUUUUGAGGAAGGGGGGAAUGAUACGAGUCACAAAAGCCCAAAUUCUUGAAGGCGAGGCCCAAUAAGCAAAUUCCCAGCCCAAUCAAGAAAUCCAUCCAUACUUAGUUGAAAAUCAGGCCAAAUUGUCAAAGUGGCCCAAGUUGUAAAGUUUUAUUUUUAUUUAUUUAUUUUACUUAGUUUAAAUUUUUAUAUUCAGUCCAAGAGUCCCAAAUAAAAGACCCUUGGCCGAAUUUCCAUAUUAAAAUAAUUAGGAGUUAUUUUUUUAGUUUUAGUUUUAGUGUUCUAAUUAAAUUAGGAAAACAUUUGAAAGGCCUAUUUAUAUGGCUUGGCCAGCCACCCUACAUUACAUUACAAUUACAUUGAAAAUUUCAGAUUUGAUUUGAGUGAAAAUUCUCUUUGAGUUCUUCAAGGAUUUUCUCUUGAGUUUUCUUUAGAAGUUGUUUUAACAAUCUUUUUGAUUGUGGGAGCCAUCUUCAACCUUCUUCUUGCCAUUGAUAUUCUUUGGAGGGGAGAUUAGAGCCGUUUGAAGGGAUUUGUGAAAUCUUUCGGGAUUUCAAGGAUCUUUAGGACUUUCUUU
This 4989-nucleotide long non-coding RNA is filed under the name Gossypium barbadense (sea-island cotton). RNAcentral's name for it is "long non-coding RNA (GBAR_LNC021867)". The record is from RNAcentral. Lineage: Eukaryota; Viridiplantae; Streptophyta; Magnoliopsida; Malvales; Malvaceae.